Papaver somniferum (opium poppy) is the source of this 456-nucleotide long non-coding RNA. RefSeq lists it as uncharacterized. NCBI's taxonomy places the organism in Eukaryota, Viridiplantae, Streptophyta, Magnoliopsida, Ranunculales, Papaveraceae. The record is from RefSeq and is a predicted model, not a curated record. The transcript has 3 exons.
AUUACGAUGAGAAGACAUAGAGGAGGAUUAUCACAAAGAUCUAGCGGGCGAGUGGAUCCCUUGCACAAUUCUGUGCCAGAGAUAAGUCCAAUGGCAAGACAGAAGCCAUCAACCAACUGUUUACAUUAGGAAGAGCUAGAGGGGGAUUAUCACAAAGUUCUGGUCCAGCAAACGGAUCAAGGGAAAUUAAUUCGCAAGAGAGAAAAACAGCAAAUUUGCAUGGAGUAGAUCUUCCAAGGGAGCAAGCAAAUGGCAGUACUCCAAUUUGAUACUCCCAACGACGACUUGGAAUAGCUGCUACACCGUUAUCUCUUCCAUCAAACCGACGGGUAGCUCUAAACGCACCUCAAACGCAGAAUCAUGUGAAACGUUCCUUAAUACUGGAAGGGGACAAUGCUUCAAGUGUCAUGCGAAACAAGGAAGCUGUACAUGACAGAAGGGGGCAGUCACCUGAUG